GGCUAUAGCAAUAUAGCUAGUGGCGACCGGGUGAGUAACACGUGACUAACCUACCCUAAACUGGGGAAUAACGGAGGGAAACUUCCGCUAAUACCGCAUGUUGAAACGGUCUCGCAUGGGACUGUUUUGAAAGAUUUAUCGGUUUAGGAUGGGGUCGCGCCCUAUUAGCUUGUUGGUGAGGUAACGGCUCACCAAGGCGACGAUGGGUAGCUGGUCUGAGAGGAUGAUCAGCCACACUGGGACUGAGAUACGGCCCAGACUCCUACGGGAGGCAGCAGUGAGGAAUAUUGCGCAAUGGGCGAAAGCCUGACGCAGCAACGCCGCGUGAAGGAUGAAGGUGCUUUGCAUUGUAAACUUCUGUAGAGAGGGAAGAAUCCCCGACUUGUUCGGGAUUGACGGUACCUCUAAAGUAAGCACCGGCUAAUUCCGUGCCAGCAGCCGCGGUAAUACGGAAGGUGCAAGCGUUGUCCGGAUUGACUGGGUGUAAAGGGCGUGCAGGCGGAGGAGUAUGUCGGGAGUGAAAUCGUGCGGCUUAACCGUAUCAAUUGCUUCCGAAACUAUUCCCCUUGAGUGCAAGAGAGGCAGAUAGAAUUCCUGGUGUAGCGGUGGAAUGCGUAGAGAUCAGGAAGAAUACCGGAGGCGAAGGCGGUCUGCUGGCUUGUAACUGACGCUGAGGCGCGAAAGUGCGGGGAGCAAACAGGAUUAGAUACCCUGGUAGUCCGCAC
This 725-nucleotide ribosomal RNA is filed under the name uncultured Bacillota bacterium. RNAcentral describes it as "bacterial SSU rRNA". It matches the Rfam family "Bacterial small subunit ribosomal RNA", at positions 69 to 800 of the family's 1533-position model. Lineage: Bacteria; Bacillati; Bacillota. The record is from RNAcentral.